Molecule: ribosomal RNA, 429 nt
Filed under: Pseudomonadota bacterium
Lineage: Bacteria; Pseudomonadati; Pseudomonadota
Description: Proteobacteria bacterium partial 16S ribosomal RNA
Rfam family: Bacterial small subunit ribosomal RNA
Source: RNAcentral
UGGGGAAUAUUGGACAAUGGGCGAAAGCCUGAUCCAGCCAUGCCGCGUGUGUGAAGAAGGUCUUCGGAUUGUAAAGCACUUUAAGUUGGGAGGAAGGGCAGUAAGCGAAUACCUUGCUGUUUUGACGUUACCGACAGUAUAAGCACCGGCUAACUCUGUGCCAGCAGCCGCGGUAAUACAGAGGGUGCAAGCGUUAAUCGGAAUUACUGGGCGUAAAGCGCGCGUAGGUGGUUCGUUAAGUUGAAUGUGAAAGCCCCGGGCUCAACCUGGGAACUGCAUCCAAAACUGGCGAGCUGGAGUAGGGCAGAGGGUGGUGGAAUUUCCUGUGUAGCGGUGAAAUGCGUAGGUAUAGGAAGGAACACCAGUGGCGAAGGCGACCACCUGGGCUCAUACUGACACUGAGGUGCGAAAGCGUGGGGAGCAAACAGG